CGGAAAGGCCCUCUGCUUGCAGAGGGUACUCGAGUGGCGAACGGGUGAGUAACACGUGGGUGAUCUGCCCUGCACUGUGGGAUAAGCCUGGGAAACUGGGUCUAAUACCAUAUAUGACCGCNUUUUGGAUGGUGUGGUGGAAAGCUUUUGCGGUGUGGGAUGAGCCUGCGGCCUAUCAGCUUGUUGGUGGGGUAAUGGCCUACCAAGGCGGCGACGGGUAUCCGGCCUGAGAGGGUGUACGGACACAUUGGGACUGAGAUACGGCCCAGACUCCUACGGGAGGCAGCAGUGGGGAAUAUUGCACAAUGGGCGCAAGCCUGAUGCAGCGACGCCGCGUGGGGGAUGAAGGCCUUCGGGUUGUAAACUCCUUUCGCUAUCGACGAAGCCANUUUGUGGUGACGGUAGGUAGAUAAGAAGCACCGGCUAACUACGUGCCAGCAGCCGCGGUAAUACGUAGGGUGCGAGCGUUGUCCGGAAUUACUGGGCGUAAAGAGCUCGUA
This 500-nucleotide ribosomal RNA is filed under the name bacterium 5BL. RNAcentral describes it as "bacterial SSU rRNA". It matches the Rfam family "Bacterial small subunit ribosomal RNA", at positions 67 to 573 of the family's 1533-position model. The record is from RNAcentral.